AGGUAGUUUCAUGUUGUUGGGA
This 22-nucleotide microRNA is filed under the name Xenopus laevis (African clawed frog). Its description in RNAcentral is "Xla-Mir-196-P4c-v2_5p (mature (guide))". Lineage: Eukaryota; Metazoa; Chordata; Amphibia; Anura; Pipidae. The record is from RNAcentral.